This 484-nucleotide ribosomal RNA is filed under the name uncultured bacterium. RNAcentral describes it as "partial 16S ribosomal RNA". It matches the Rfam family "Bacterial small subunit ribosomal RNA", at positions 30 to 507 of the family's 1533-position model. The record is from RNAcentral.
AUUGAACGCUGGCGGCAGGCCUAACACAUGCAAGUCGAGCGGAUGAAGGGAGCUUGCUCCUGGAUUCAGCGGCGGACGGGUGAGUAAUGCCUAGGAAUCUGCCUGGUAGUGGGGGAUAACAUCCGGAAACGGGCGCUAAUACCGCAUACGUCCUGAGGGAGAAAGUGGGGGAUCUUCGGACCUCACGCUAUCAGAUGAGCCUAGGUCGGAUUAGCUAGUUGGUGGGGUAAAGGCCUACCAAGGCGACGAUCCGUAACUGGUCUGAGAGGAUGAUCAGUCACACUGGAACUGAGACACGGUCCAGACUCCUACGGGAGGCAGCAGUGGGGAAUAUUGGACAAUGGGCGAAAGCCUGAUCCAGCCAUGCCGCGUGUGUGAAGGAGGUCUUCGGAUUGUAAAGCACUUUAAGUUGGGAGGAAGGGCAGUAAGUUAAUACCUUGCUGUUUUGACGUUACCAACAGAAUAAGCACCGGCUAACUUCGUG